Long non-coding RNA from Stylophora pistillata, 1023 nucleotides. The record is from RefSeq and is a predicted model, not a curated record. Lineage: Eukaryota; Metazoa; Cnidaria; Anthozoa; Scleractinia; Pocilloporidae.
AUUGAAGACGUUUGGCUUUACGCAUUUUAAACUCUUGAACUACUUGUUGUUAAUUUAUAAUUCAUGGAUAAUUCUCGCCCAGGGUGCCUAAAGCAGCUUCUUAAAGCCUCAACCUGCGCCAAAGUUAUCAGUCAGCUUACGAGACUUCGCUACUUUGUUCCACGGACGAAGAGGCCGGGAAAUAGUACAAGAAAAUGGCAGAAGAAGAAAUUAAGAAACAGCUAGAAGAGAAAACUGCCGAGGCAGCCACUUUAAAAGAAGAGCUAUCACAGAAAGCUGCCGAAGUAAUUGGUCUGCAAGAACAAUGCGAUGAAUUAAGGCAAAAAUUGGAGCAGGUCUUGAAGCUGGCAGGAGACAAGAAGGAGGACCUGUUAGCUAAGGUACCAGGUGGUCUUGGCGGUGUGUUGGGUGAUGGAUCCAAAGAGGAAGAAAAACCAGCAGACGCUGCUAAAGAGGUUGCUGGAGAUGCUGCAAACGCCGCCAAAAGUGCGCUCUCGUCCUUUUUUUAAUGAACACAAUUCUAUUGAUUAGCACAACGGCAUAAUAGCCAAUCGAUCUUACAAUUAAUUAACAUUUCUACCUUCCUUUUUUUUUUCUGCUAUUUCACCAUUAUUUCGAACAGAGGUAAAAAAAGUGAAUUUAAUUUUUCAAAGUAGAGACUGAGGGUGGUUAUCCUAGAAUAUGUGUGAGGUUUGGUAUAUACGCUCGUUCAACUGUUUUACUCAAAUAGUCAUUAGAAGGAUUUUCCUCGUGCGAGCAUUAACCUCUUAGAAUGUACCUCAGAAAUUUUUUGCUAGGAGCGUAAAGCAAACUAAAAAUUCUACUCAGAUAGGAUUCUGAAGUCAUGGAUGGCGUUUAUAAUAUUUCUCACCUGCAAAUUAUUUUGACUAAGGUACUAUUUGUUUUAAUAAAGGCAUAAUUUUCUGCAAUGCAAUCAACUGCUGGAGUGCCAGGCUAUCAGUUAAGAUACUCGUAGUUCAACACAAUUUGUUCAUUAAAAGGAAUGUAUCGAGCUUGACUGAA